CCUACGGGUGGCAGCAGUGGGGAAUAUUGCACAAUGGGGGAAACCCUGAUGCAGCGACGCCGCGUGAGCGAUGAAGUAUUUCGGUAUGUAAAGCUCUAUCAGCAGGGAAGAAGAUGACGGUACCUGACUAAGAAGCCCCGGCUAACUACGUGCCAGCAGCCGCGGUAAUACGUAGGGGGCAAGCGUUAUCCGGAUUUACUGGGUGUAAAGGGAGCGUAGACGGCGAUGCAAGACAGAUGUGAAAGCCCGGGGCUCAACCCCGGGACUGCAUUUGAAACUGUGUAGCUGGAGUGUAGGAGAGGCAAGCGGAAUGCCUAGUGUAGCGGUGAAAUGCAUAGAUAUUAGGAGGAACACCAGUGGCGAAGGCGGCCUACUGGACGAUAACUGACGUUGAGGCUCGAAAGCGUGGGGAGCAAACAGGAUUAGAUACCCUUGUAGUC
This 440-nucleotide ribosomal RNA is filed under the name uncultured bacterium. RNAcentral describes it as "partial 16S ribosomal RNA". It matches the Rfam family "Bacterial small subunit ribosomal RNA", at positions 338 to 795 of the family's 1533-position model. The record is from RNAcentral.